This 386-nucleotide ribosomal RNA is filed under the name uncultured bacterium. RNAcentral's name for it is "bacterial SSU rRNA". It matches the Rfam family "Bacterial small subunit ribosomal RNA", at positions 29 to 418 of the family's 1533-position model. The record is from RNAcentral.
AUUGAACGCUGGCGGAAUGCUUUACACAUGCAAGUCGAGCGGCAGCGCGGGGGCAACCCUGGCGGCGAGCGGCGAACGGGUGAGUAACAUAUCGGAACGUACCCAGUCGUGGGGGAUAACUAUCCGAAAGGAUAGCUAAUACCGCAUACGUCCUGAGGGAGAAANCGGGGGAUCGCAAGACCUCGCGCGAUUGGAGCGGCCGAUAUCGGAUUAGCUAGUUGGUGGGGUAAAGGCUCACCAAGGCGACGAUCCGUAGCGGGUCUGAGAGGACGACCCGCCACACUGGAACUGAGACACGGUCCAGACUCCUACGGGAGCAGCAGUGGGGAAUUUUGGACAAUGGGGGCAACCCUGAUCCAGCCAUUCGCGUGAGUGAAGAAGGCCUU